RNAcentral lists this long non-coding RNA (379 nucleotides) under Manihot esculenta (cassava). Its description in RNAcentral is "long non-coding RNA (MESC_LNC006928)". Lineage: Eukaryota; Viridiplantae; Streptophyta; Magnoliopsida; Malpighiales; Euphorbiaceae. The record is from RNAcentral.
CAACUCCCUGCACCCACUAAUCCCCCUUUCAUAGAUGAAAAAACCAUGGAACUCAAUGACACAUGCGAGGACCCAUGGUACCCUCUCAACGCUGGCCUUUCAGCAUCAAUUGCAACUAUCACCCAUAGUUCCUUCCAUCCAAGAUGACCUGAAGAGCAACAAACAAUUGCAUUUAAAACGUCAAGAGAAAAAUGAAAGAAGAUAAAUAUCCCAGUCGGUAAGUACGUUACCUCAUCAAAGCAUAUCUUGCAAGCAUUUUGAGGAAGCUGAUGGGGAUAUGUGAGAAGUUGGCAAUAAAUGCAGAUCGGCGUCCAAUGACUUGUAGAUAUAAAGUAGAGGAUACUUGCCAAUGUUCAAAUAUUUAUCAUGAAAUUAGAGA